AAAGGGAGACCUAAUUCGGGUAGAAGACGAAAAAAUAGUAGUCGAAACCAAGAAUCAAUCCCAAAAGGUCGGAACGAGGUAUGUGGCUUUCAAACUAGGUUCUGGGUUCACAAAAGACCUGAAUCAGGAACAAGGGCUAUUAGCUCAGGUGGUUAGAGCGUACCCCUGAUAAGGGUGAGGUCCCUGGUUCGAGUCCAGGAUGGCCCACCUGCACAGGUGGCAAAAACAAGAGAAACGAGGAAUCAGCACCUUAUCUUACUUACAUAGUAAGAGAGAAUGCUGGCUCUGAGUAAAGAGUCCAGAGGAACCUUGAAAACUGCAUAGAGCCAGGUGAAAAAGCCAAAAAAGAAGACCGCAAG
This 359-nucleotide transfer RNA is filed under the name uncultured Microcystis sp. RNAcentral's name for it is "partial 16S-23S ribosomal RNA intergenic spacer". The stretch from base 134 to 207 matches the Rfam family "tRNA". The record is from RNAcentral. Lineage: Bacteria; Bacillati; Cyanobacteriota; Cyanophyceae; Chroococcales; Microcystaceae.